GCGUUCUCUACCAUAUGUAAUAUCCAUACUUAGAUAACAUUGUGCAACUUUGUGGGAGAAGGAUUUUCGCAUUUCAUUAUUUCAUUCUUCAUCCUCUAUUUCUCGCACUUCUUUAUUGCCGAUUUAAGCCAAUUUCGACAGCACCGUGAUUAGUUUGUGUUCUGUUUUCUGAUUUUUAUAUUGAUAAUUUGAUAAUUUCACUCCGCAAAAAACUAAAUACCAAAAUGUUUGGAUGUAUUAUCAGAUGUGUGACAAUUGUCAAAAACCGUUAAUAAACGAAAACAAUCUCAAAAUUUUCCGCAUUAGAUUAGGACUUGGUGGAGGUAUACUUGUUAGUGGAGGCGGUUUGUUAGGAGCUUACGCACUACCACUUAUCGGAUUUGGAUCAGCGAGUGUCACCAAAAGAUCUAUCACCACGUGGUUGCAAGGCCCAUCUAUAGAGAUUGCCGUCUCUCCAGAUAAAGAUUGCUUUAAUUUUAUAAAUUGAUUGAUUGUAACUAAAGGCUGGAUCAACUUUUGCGUUAUGUCAAACACUGGGUGCAACUGGAUUAUAUUCUAUACUAUUUAAAUCAACUGGAAGUGUACUUGGAGGUGGAGCUCUUGGAAUGCUCUACAAAAACCGUUUCAAUAAUGGUUGGUGCUCCUGCGAUCAACCGCCUUUAAUGCCAAAUGCGCCAAAUAAGUGCUGAAGGUACUUUCAUCAAAAUUGUAGAAAAUAAAAAGCGAAUAAGGAUUUUUUUCAACUUAUAUCAUACAUUUUCUCACAAAAUUCAAUGUUUAUUAAUUUGAUUUACAUUAUCAAUUUGAUGCAUUGUAUAUAUAAUAAUUUCAUUUCCUGAUUUACUAUAAAGUUAUUUAAGUGCAUAAAUGUAUAAUUCAUAGCUUAUUGUUUGUUAUUAUUGUAAUGACAUAAUUUUAUUUAAUCAUUUUCUUAA
Molecule: RNA transcript, 935 nt
Organism: Cotesia glomerata
Lineage: Eukaryota; Metazoa; Arthropoda; Insecta; Hymenoptera; Braconidae
Exons: 2
Source: RefSeq, a predicted model, not a curated record